UGCCAGCAGCCGCGGUAAUACUGAAGGUGCAAGCGUUAAUCGGAAUCACUGGGCGUAAAGCGCUCGUAGGUGGCUUUGUAAGUCAGAUGUGAAAGCCCACGGCUCAACCGUGGAAUUGCAUUUGAUACUGCAUCACUAGAGUAUAGGAGAGGGAAGUGGAAUUUCUGGUGUAGCGGUGAAAUGCGUAGAUAUUAGGAAGAACACCAGUGGCGAAGGCGACUUUCUGGACUGUAACUGACGCUGAGGUACGAAAGCGUGGGGAGCGAACAGGAUUAGAUA
This 279-nucleotide ribosomal RNA is filed under the name uncultured bacterium. RNAcentral describes it as "partial 16S ribosomal RNA". It matches the Rfam family "Bacterial small subunit ribosomal RNA", at positions 506 to 784 of the family's 1533-position model. The record is from RNAcentral.